RNAcentral lists this ribosomal RNA (400 nucleotides) under phytoplankton environmental sample. RNAcentral describes it as "partial small subunit ribosomal RNA". It matches the Rfam family "Eukaryotic small subunit ribosomal RNA", at positions 587 to 989 of the family's 1831-position model. The record is from RNAcentral.
AGCUCCAAUAGCGUAUAUUAAAGUUGUUGCAGUUAAAAAGCUCGUAGUUGGAUUUCUGUUCAAACGCACCCGAACCGCCGGCGUUAGCUGUGUGAGUGUCGGAGUACGUUGGACAUCCUUCCGGAGAGUUAGCCCCUUCAUUGGCGGCUAGCAAUCUGGGACGUUUACUUUGAAAAAAUUAGAGUGUUCAAAGCAGGCUCGCGCUGUGAAUACAUUAGCAUGGAAUAAUAAGAUAGGACUGCUGUCCUAUUUUGUUGGUUUCUAGGACGGAAGUAAUGAUUGAUAGGGAUAGUUGGGGGUGCUCGUAUUGAACGGCCAGAGGUGAAAUUCACGGAUUCGUUCAAGACGAACUAAUGCGAAAGCAUUCACCAAGGAUGUCUUCUUUAAUCAAGAACGAAAG